RNAcentral lists this unclassified non-coding RNA (377 nucleotides) under uncultured Propionibacteriales bacterium. RNAcentral describes it as "contains 16S-23S intergenic spacer region". Lineage: Bacteria; Bacillati; Actinomycetota; Actinomycetes; Propionibacteriales. The record is from RNAcentral.
UCCGAUUUGUCACCGGCAGUCUCCUAUGAGUCCCCGACAUAACUCGCUGGCAACAUAGGACAGGGGUUGCGCUCGUUGCGGGACUUAACCCAACAUCUCACGGCACGAGCUGACGACAGCCAUGCACCACCUGUACAGAACCCUUACGGACCCCCCAUCUCUGGGAGUAAAUCCUGUAUGUCAAACCCAGGUAAGGUUCUUCGCGUUGCAUCGAAUUAAUCCGCAUGCUCCGCCGCUUGUGCGGGCCCUCGUCAAUUCCUUUGAGUUUUAGCCUUGCGGCCGUACUCCCCAGGCGGGGCGCUUAAUGCGUUAGCUGCGGCACGGAACCCGUGGAAUGGAUCCCACACCUAGCGCCCAACGUUUACGGUGUGGACUAC